GCUUGUCGAUAACUCCGAGCCCAAUAUUCUACGUUAUGAAAGAUGAAUAUGAAUAUUGCGCCGUGAUGCUCACCAGCAAUGUUGGAAUUAUGACGCAUCACCAGGGUCAUUCUAGAAAUGGACUGGCCUCCCGUAUUUGGAAAGGUGUUUUGUGAACAUUGAA
This 163-nucleotide non-coding RNA is filed under the name Vibrio sp. RNAcentral describes it as "MoCo sequence". It matches the Rfam family "Molybdenum/Tungsten riboswitch aptamer (Moco RNA motif)". Lineage: Bacteria; Pseudomonadati; Pseudomonadota; Gammaproteobacteria; Vibrionales; Vibrionaceae. RNAcentral also lists the same sequence under 1 other name. The record is from RNAcentral.